Molecule: ribosomal RNA, 317 nt
Filed under: Anaplasma phagocytophilum
Lineage: Bacteria; Pseudomonadati; Pseudomonadota; Alphaproteobacteria; Rickettsiales; Anaplasmataceae
Description: bacterial SSU rRNA
Rfam family: Bacterial small subunit ribosomal RNA
Source: RNAcentral
AGCUUGCUAUGAUGAAAAUUAGUGGCAGACGGGUGAGUAAUGCAUAGGAAUCUACCUAGUAGUAUGGGAUAGCCACUAGAAAUGGUGGGUAAUACUGUAUAAUCCCUGCGGGGGAAAGAUUUAUCGCUAUUAGAUGAGCCUAUGUUAGAUUAGCUAGUUGGUAGGGUAAAGGCCUACCAAGGCAGUGAUCUAUAGCUGGUCUGAGAGGAUGAUCAGCCACACUGGAACUGAGAUACGGUCCAGACUCCUACGGGAGGCAGCAGUGGGGAAUAUUGGACAAUGGGCGCAAGCCUGAUCCAGCUAUGCCGCGUGAGUGA